AUUGAACGCUGGCGGCAGGCCUAACACAUGCAAGUCGAGCGAGCGGCGGACGGGUGAGUAAUGUAUGGGGAUCUGCCCGAUAGAGGGGGAUAACUACUGGACACGGUGGCUAAUACCGCAUACUAUAGGAUGAACACAUAGGGGGUUAGCUAGUAGGUGGGGUAAAGGUUCACGUAGGCGACUAUCUCUAGAUGGUCGGAGAGGAUGAUAAGCCACACUGGGACUGAGACACGCCCCAGACUCCUACGGGAGGCAGCAGUGGGGAAUAUUGCACAAUGGGCGCAAGCCUGAUGCAGCCAUGCCGCGUGUAUGAAGAAGGCCUUAGGGGUGUAAAGUACUUUCAGCGGGGAGGCGUUACCCGCAGAAGAAGCACCGGCUAACUCCGUGCCAGCAGCCGCGGUAAUUC
RNAcentral lists this ribosomal RNA (406 nucleotides) under uncultured bacterium. Its description in RNAcentral is "partial 16S ribosomal RNA". It matches the Rfam family "Bacterial small subunit ribosomal RNA", at positions 30 to 526 of the family's 1533-position model. The record is from RNAcentral.